AGCAAAAGAAGUCUACACUCACUGGAUUCUAGAUCUAUUCUUGUCAAUGCAGAGUCUUUAUUGGUAAACAAAUACAUUCUUUAUCUGUUCUUGUACGUCUAAUGUGAGAGAAAUUACUUCAAAUAGAAUCAGUGUCUAGUCUAUUACUGCUUUUUAACGGGUUCUGUUGGCAACCCAUUAGUAGAUUUCAUUCCUAUAAAUGAAUAAAUAUAUUCUAAUAAUCAGAAUGAACUGGGCAGAACAGCCUAAUGUUUUCUUUAAUAUUUAUAGAAAAAGGUGCAUUCAUAUAAAAGUCAAUGAAAUGA
This is a long non-coding RNA of Xenopus tropicalis (tropical clawed frog), 305 nucleotides long. RefSeq lists it as uncharacterized. Lineage: Eukaryota; Metazoa; Chordata; Amphibia; Anura; Pipidae. The transcript is spliced from 3 exons. The record is from RefSeq and is a predicted model, not a curated record.